CCUACGGGAGGCAGCAGUCGAGAAUCAUUCACAAUGGGGGAAACCCUGAUGGUGCGACGCCGCGUGGGGGAAUGAAGGUCUUAGGAUUGUACACCCCUGUCAUGUGGGGGCAAAUUAACAAGAUAGUACCACAAGAGGAAGAGACGGCUAAAUCUGUGCCAGCAGCAGCGGUAAUACAGAGGUCUCAAGCGUUGUUCGGAAUCACUGGGCGUAAGGGGUGCGUAGGCUGUUUCGUAAGUCGUGUGUGAAAGGCGCGGGCUCAACCCGCGGACGGCACAUGAUACUGCGAGACUAGAGUAAUGGAGGGGGAACCGGAAUUCUCGGUGUAGCAGUGAAAUGCGUAGAUAUCGAGAGGAACACUCGUGGCGAAGGCGGGUUCCUGGACAUUAACUGACGCUGAGGCACGAAGGCCAGGGGAGCGAAAGGGAUUAGAUACCCCUGUAGUC
This 446-nucleotide ribosomal RNA is filed under the name uncultured bacterium. RNAcentral describes it as "partial 16S ribosomal RNA". It matches the Rfam family "Bacterial small subunit ribosomal RNA", at positions 338 to 795 of the family's 1533-position model. The record is from RNAcentral.